AAUGGAACUGCUGAGUGAUAUGGUAAUUCUACAUUUAACCUUUUGAGAAACCACCAGAUUGUUUUCCACAGAGGCUGUACCAUUUUACAUUCCCACAAGCAGG
This 103-nucleotide microRNA precursor is filed under the name Marmota monax (woodchuck). The record is from RNAcentral. Lineage: Eukaryota; Metazoa; Chordata; Mammalia; Rodentia; Sciuridae.